GGCGAACGGGUGAGUAACACGUGGGUGAUCUGCCCUGCACUUCGGGAUAAGCCUGGGAAACUGGGUCUAAUACCGGAUAGGAGCCAUCUUUAGUGUGAUGGUUGGAAAGUUUUUCGGUGUAGGAUGAGCUCGCGGCCUAUCAGCUUGUUGGUGGGGUAAUGGCCUACCAAGGCGGCGACGGGUAGCCGGCCUGAGAGGGUGGACGGCCACAUUGGGACUGAGAUACGGUCCAG
This 233-nucleotide ribosomal RNA is filed under the name uncultured Actinomycetales bacterium. Its description in RNAcentral is "partial 16S ribosomal RNA". It matches the Rfam family "Bacterial small subunit ribosomal RNA", at positions 97 to 334 of the family's 1533-position model. The record is from RNAcentral. Lineage: Bacteria; Bacillati; Actinomycetota; Actinomycetes; Actinomycetales.